Long non-coding RNA from Acyrthosiphon pisum (pea aphid), 522 nucleotides. RefSeq lists it as uncharacterized. The transcript has 3 exons. NCBI's taxonomy places the organism in Eukaryota, Metazoa, Arthropoda, Insecta, Hemiptera, Aphididae. The record is from RefSeq and is a predicted model, not a curated record.
UUUUAGCUCAUAUAUUUGAUUUCAGAACAAAUUCAUACUUAGUUGUUAUUUCUAUUUUGUGAAACUCAAAAUGUUAGCUUAAAUGUUCAAUUAUAAUCAACAUAAUUAUGGGAAUUUAAAAACUACAACAAAGUAUUGUCACUUUUGAACAUUUUAUUAAGUAGGCACUGUACUGCAACAUUAUUCUAAAAUAAAGGUUAGAUAUUAACCAGGAAUGUGGAUAUUGCUAUUAUUUCACAAAAAUCUUGCAUGUGACUACUACAGACUACAGUGAUAGUUUGAGAGAAGACUACCAGGGAAUUUAAUCUUGUGGAACAUAACAAACAUUCAUAUUGAAGACUUGUGCAUACAAUUAUUAUAACAAAACCUAAAAUGUCCAAUCAAUCUGUGAGAUAUAUUUUAUGGAUAAAAUAAUUUUUAGAUAGUAUUUACACAUAGUUGUAAGUAACAUAUUUCUGAAUGUUAUAACUAAACGUAAUUUUACAUAUUUAGUUGUAAAUAUUUAAUAAUAAGCCAUUGAAA